RNAcentral lists this small RNA (82 nucleotides) under Flavobacterium caeni. RNAcentral's name for it is "Flavo-1 RNA". It matches the Rfam family "Flavo-1 RNA". The record is from Rfam by way of RNAcentral. Lineage: Bacteria; Pseudomonadati; Bacteroidota; Flavobacteriia; Flavobacteriales; Flavobacteriaceae.
CAGUAGUGUGCGCGAGGGAUAGCAGCGGCAUCCUUUUGCGGCGUUUACAAAGCAAAAGAUAAAGCGGAUAGCCCGACGGCGG